CAGCCGCCGCGGUAAUACGGAGGGGGCUAGCGUUGUUCGGAAUUACUGGGCGUAAAGCGCACGUAGGCGGCUUGGUAAGUUAGAGGUGAAAGCCUGGAGCUCAACUCCAGAAUUGCCUUUAAGACUGCCGAGCUAGCAGGUGAGAGAGGUAAGUGGAAUUCCGAGUGUAGAGGUGAAAUUCGUAGAUAUUCGGAAGAACACCAGUGGCGAAGGCGGCUUACUGGCUCAUACUGGACGCUGAGGUGCGAAAGCGUGGGGAGCAAACAGGAUUAGAUACCCCUGUAGUCCCUGUCUCUUAUAC
Molecule: ribosomal RNA, 301 nt
Filed under: uncultured bacterium
Lineage: Bacteria
Description: partial 16S ribosomal RNA
Rfam family: Bacterial small subunit ribosomal RNA
Source: RNAcentral